GACGAACGCUGGCGGCGUGCUUAACACAUGCAAGUCGAACGGAAAGGCCCCUUUGGGGGUACUCGAGUGGCGAACGGGUGAGUAACACGUGAGUAACCUGCCCUUGACUUCGGGAUAACUUCAGGAAACUGGGGCUAAUACCGGAUAGGAAUCCUUGCUGCAUGGUGGGGGUUGUUAAGCUUCGGCGGUUUUGGAUGGACUCGCGGCUUAUCAGCUUGUUGGUGGGGUAGUGGCUUACCAAGGCUUUGACGGGUAGCCGGCCUGAGAGGGCGACCGGCCACAUUGGGACUGAGAGACGGCCCAGACGCCUAAGGGAGGCAGCAGGGGGGAAGAUUGAACAAUGGGCGGAAGCCGGAUGAAGAAAGGCCGCGUGCGGGAUGACGGCCUUAGGGUUGUAAAACGCUUUCAGCAGGGGAGAAGCUUGUGGUGACGGUACCAGCAGAAGAAGCACCGGCUAACUACGUG
RNAcentral lists this ribosomal RNA (465 nucleotides) under uncultured bacterium. RNAcentral's name for it is "partial 16S ribosomal RNA". It matches the Rfam family "Bacterial small subunit ribosomal RNA", at positions 28 to 507 of the family's 1533-position model. The record is from RNAcentral.